CAUUUUUUAUUUUUAUUUUUUUUAAAUAAGGCCUGCCCACUGAAUUAUUUAAAGGGCCGCAGUAUACUGACUGUGCUAAGGUAGCAUAAUAAUUUGCCCCUUAAUUAGGGGAUUGGAUGAAUGGCCUAACAGUUUAAUUUUUUUUUAUUAAUAGCAUUCUUGAACUUAUUAUUUUAGUAAAAAUACUUAAUUAAUUCUUGAAGACGAUAAGACCCUAUAGAUCUUUAUUUUUUUUUAUUUUUAAAUUAUUAGAUUUGUAUUUUAAUUAAAAUAUAAUUAUUUUGCUGGGGUAGUAGGAGAAUAAUAUAAUUUUCUCUAGAGUUUAAUUUUUUUUUAUUAAGUUUAUCUAUUUUUUUAAUCUAAAAAGUUACCUUAGGGAUAACAGCGUAAUAUUUUUGGUGAGUUCAUAUCGAUAAAGUAUCUUGCGACCUCGAUGUUGAAUUAAGAUUAUUUUUUAAAGCAGUCUUUACAUUUGUAGUCUGUUCGACUAUUAAAUUCUUACAUGAUUUGA
Molecule: ribosomal RNA, 511 nt
Filed under: Pygmarrhopalites sp. A7 AK-2018
Lineage: Eukaryota; Metazoa; Arthropoda; Collembola; Symphypleona; Arrhopalitidae
Description: partial 16S ribosomal RNA
Source: RNAcentral